RNAcentral lists this ribosomal RNA (700 nucleotides) under uncultured Caulobacteraceae bacterium. Its description in RNAcentral is "bacterial SSU rRNA". It matches the Rfam family "Bacterial small subunit ribosomal RNA", at positions 28 to 776 of the family's 1533-position model. Lineage: Bacteria; Pseudomonadati; Pseudomonadota; Alphaproteobacteria; Caulobacterales; Caulobacteraceae. The record is from RNAcentral.
AGCGAACGCUGGCGGCAGGCUUAACACAUGCAAGUCGAACGGUCCUUCGGGAUAGUGGCGGACGGGUGAGUAACACGUGGGAACGUACCCUUAGGUUCGGAACAACACAGGGAAACUUGUGCUAAUACCGGAUAAGCCCUUCGGGGGAAAGAUUUAUCGCCUUUGGAGCGGCCCGCGUCUGAUUAGCUUGUUGGUGAGGUAAUGGCUCACCAAGGCUACGAUCAGUAGCUGGUCUGAGAGGAUGGCCAGCCACACUGGGACUGAGACACGGCCCAGACUCCUACGGGAGGCAGCAGUGGGGAAUCUUGCGCAAUGGGCGAAAGCCUGACGCAGCCAUGCCGCGUGGAUGAUGAAGGUCUUAGGAUUGUAAAAUCCUUUCACCGGGGACGAUAAUGACGGUACCCGGAGAAGAAGCCCCGGCUAACUUCGUGCCAGCAGCCGCGGUAAUACGAAGGGGGCUAGCGUUGCUCGGAAUUACUGGGCGUAAAGGGCGCGUAGGCGGACAGUUAAGUUGGGGGUGAAAGCCCGGGGCUCAACCUCGGAAAUGCCUUCAAUACUGGCUGUCUUGAGUACGGGAGAGGUGAGUGGAACUCCGAGUGUAGAGGUGAAAUUCGUAGAUAUUCGGAAGAACACCAGUGGCGAAAGCGACUCACUGGCCCGUUACUGACGCUGAGGCGCGAAAGCGUGGGGAGCAAACAGG